AUGUUCCUUAGGGAGAAGAUGCUGAAAUGUGGAUGUGCGCAUAUAUGGGGUACAAGCUGAGCACAGAGAGCUGUCAGAGUAACAUUUUAGCCCAAGCGCAGUGUAAAAAGCAACUCAGACACAGGGGGAAGAUAGAAUCUCCUAGAGCUCCAUGAGGCGUGAGAACCUUGCUUCUGGGGCAGCAAACAGUCACCAUUGUUGAGGUGGGGCCAUGACCAGAGGUUGGACCUUCAUGGAGCGGCUCGGUCAAUUGUUGAACCUUUGAGAGGAGCUUGAAAUGAAACUUCUGACAAGCACUGCCCUAAGGUAAAAAGCAACUCAGACACAGGGGGAAGAUAGAAUCUCCUAGAGCUCCAUGAGGCGUGAGAACCUUGCUUCUGGGGCAGCAUUGCUGAGGCGGGGCAAUGACCAGACGUUGGACCUUCAUGGAGAGACUCGGUCAAAGGUUGAACCUUUUGAGAGGAGCUUGAACUGAUAAUUCUGACUUGCUGAAAAGCACUGCCCUAAGCACUGACUUCUUAUCAUGGAAACAAAAGAAAACGAGAGAAACCACAGAGACCAACAAUGACUUGGAAGGAGCUACAGAGCCCAGUAUUUGGCAACUGAGUAAAAGUGCAUCAGGCAGCCGUAUCAAGCUCUGUGUAUGGCACUGAGGGGCGCUCGCGCCAUCUGAAUAAACAACUGCCUGCAGCAAAUGUGCCGAAAUCAGAAUG
Molecule: long non-coding RNA, 713 nt
Organism: Xenopus tropicalis (tropical clawed frog)
Lineage: Eukaryota; Metazoa; Chordata; Amphibia; Anura; Pipidae
Exons: 6
Source: RefSeq, a predicted model, not a curated record